Molecule: ribosomal RNA, 376 nt
Filed under: uncultured bacterium
Lineage: Bacteria
Description: bacterial SSU rRNA
Rfam family: Bacterial small subunit ribosomal RNA
Source: RNAcentral
AACGUAGGAGGCGAGCGUUAUCCGGAUUUACUGGGUGUAAAGCGCGUGCAGGCGGACGGGUAAGUUGGGUGUGAAAGCUCCUGGCUAAACUGGGAGAGGUCGCUCAAGACUGCCGGUCUAGAGCGUGGUAGGGGAAGGCGGAAUUCCGGGUGUAGUGGUGAAAUGCGUAGAUAUCCGGAGGAACACCAGUGGCGAAAGCGGCCUUCUAGACCACGACUGACGCUCAGACGCGAAAGCUAGGGGAGCAAACGGGAUUAGAGACCCCGGUAGUCCUAGCCGUAAACGAUGUGAACUUGGCGCCGGGUGGGUAAAACCGUUCGGUGCCGUAGCUAACGCGAUAAGUUCACCACCUGGGGACUACGGCCGCAAGGUUAAA